UGGGGAAUAUUGCACAAUGGGCGAAAGCCUGAUGCAGCAACGCCGCGUGAGUGAUGAAGGUCUUCGGAUUGUAAAGCUCUGUCUUUUGGGACGAUAAUGACGGUACCAAAGGAGGAAGCCACGGCUAACUACGUGCCAGCAGCCGCGGUAAUACGUAGGUGGCGAGCGUUGUCCGGAUUUACUGGGCGUAAAGGGUGCGUAGGCGGAUGUUUAAGUGAGAUGUGAAAUACCCGGGCUUAACUUGGGUGCUGCAUUUCAAACUGGAUAUCUAGAGUGCAGGAGAGGAGAAUGGAAUUCUUAGUGUAGCGGUGAAAUGCGUAGAGAUUAGGAAGAACACCAGUGGCGAAGGCGAUUCUCUGGACUGUAACUGACGCUGAGGCACGAAAAGCGUGGGUAGCAAACAGGAUUAGAUACCCUGGUAGUCCACGCCGUAAACGAUGAGUACUAGGUGUAGGAGGUAUCGACCCCUUCUGUGCCGCAGUAAACACAUUA
Molecule: ribosomal RNA, 492 nt
Filed under: uncultured bacterium
Lineage: Bacteria
Description: partial 16S ribosomal RNA
Rfam family: Bacterial small subunit ribosomal RNA
Source: RNAcentral